AACGAACGCUGGCGGCAGGCCUAACACAUGCAAGUCGAGCGGACCUUUCGGGGUCAGCGGCGGACGGGUGAGUAACGCGUGGGAAUAUGCCCUUCUCUACGGAAUAGUCCUGGGAAACUGGGGGUAAUACCGUAUACGCCCUUUGGGGGAAAGAUUUAUCGGGGAAGGAUUAGCCCGCGUUGGAUUAGGUAUUUGGUUGGGUAAUGGCCUACCAAGCCGACGAUCCAUAGCUGGUUUGAGAGGAUGAUAAGCCACACUGGGACUGAGACACGGCCCAGACUACUACGGGAGGGAGCAGUGGGGAAUCUUAGAAAAUGGGGGCAAACAUGAAAGAGCCAUGCCGCGUGAGUGAUGAAGGCCUUAGGGUUGUAAAGCUCUAUCAGCUGGGAAGAUAAUGACGGUACCAGCAGAAGAAGCCCCGGCUAACUACGUG
Molecule: ribosomal RNA, 433 nt
Filed under: uncultured bacterium
Lineage: Bacteria
Description: partial 16S ribosomal RNA
Rfam family: Bacterial small subunit ribosomal RNA
Source: RNAcentral